This 186-nucleotide small nuclear RNA is filed under the name Anneissia japonica. Its description in RNAcentral is "U2 spliceosomal RNA". It matches the Rfam family "U2 spliceosomal RNA". From Rfam's summary of the family: U2 is a small nuclear RNA (snRNA) component of the spliceosome (involved in pre-mRNA splicing). Complementary binding between U2 snRNA (in an area lying towards the 5' end but 3' to hairpin I) and the branchpoint sequence (BPS) of the intron results the bulging out of an unpaired adenosine, on the BPS, which initiates a nucleophilic attack at the intronic 5' splice site, thus starting the first of two transesterification reactions that mediate splicing. Lineage: Eukaryota; Metazoa; Echinodermata; Crinoidea; Comatulida; Comatulidae. The record is from RNAcentral.
AUCGCUUCUCGGCCUUUUGGCUAAGAUCAUGUGUAAUAUCUGUUCUUUUCAGCUUAAUAUCUGAAACGCUGCUCAUUGAGUAGCUUCGAGUAUUAAACUGAACUUGGGUUAUGGAACACGAGCUUGCUCCGUCCUGGCCACGGGUUGACCUGGUAUUGCAGUACAUUCAGGAGCAGCCCACAUCCU